AUUGAACGCUGGCGGCAGGCCUAACACAUGCAAGUCGAGCGGAUGAAGGGAGCUUGCUCCUGGAUUCAGCGGCGGACUGGUGAGUAAUGCCUAGGAAUCUGCCUGUUAGUGUUGGAUAACGUCCGGAAACGGGCGCUAAUACCGCAUACGUCCUGAGGGCGAAAGUGUGGGAUCUUCGGACCUCACGCUAUCAGAUGAGCCUAUGUCGGAUUAGCUAGUUGGUGGGGUAAAGGCCUACCAAGGCGACGAUCCGUAACUGGCCUGAGAGGAUGAUCAGUCACACUGGAACUGAGACACGGUCCAGACUCCUACGGGAGGCAGCAGUGGGGAAUAUUGGACAAUGGGCGAAAGCCUGAUCCAGCCAUGCCGCGUGUGUGAAGAAGGUCUUCGGAUUGUAAAGCACUUUAAGUGGGGAGGAAGGGCAGUAAGUUAAUACCUUGCUGUUUUGACGUUACCAACAGAAUAAGCACCGGCUAACUUCGUG
Molecule: ribosomal RNA, 484 nt
Filed under: uncultured bacterium
Lineage: Bacteria
Description: partial 16S ribosomal RNA
Rfam family: Bacterial small subunit ribosomal RNA
Source: RNAcentral